Molecule: ribosomal RNA, 427 nt
Filed under: uncultured bacterium
Lineage: Bacteria
Description: bacterial SSU rRNA
Rfam family: Bacterial small subunit ribosomal RNA
Source: RNAcentral
UGGGGAAUUUUGGACAAUGGGGGCAACCCUGAUCCAGCAAUGCCGCGUGAGUGAAGAAGGCCUUCGGGUUGUAAACCGCUUUUGUCAGGGAAGAAAUCCUUUGAGUUAAUACCUGGGGCUCAUGACGGUACCGUAAGAAUAAGCACCGGCUAACUACGUGCCAGCAGCCGCGGUAAUACGUAGGGUGCAAGCGUUAAUCGGAAUUACUGGGCGUAAAGCGUGCGCAGGCGGUUAUGUAAGACAGAUGUGAAAUCCCCGGGCUCAACCUGGGACCUGCAUUUGUGACUGCAUAGCUGGAGUGCGGCAGAGGGGGAUGGAAUUCCGCGUGUAGCAGUGAAAUGCGUAGAUAUGCGGAGGAACACCGAUGGCGAAGGCAAUCCCCUGGGCCUGCACUGACGCUCAUGCACGAAAGCGUGGGGAGCAAACA